AUGCGCUUUGGAAUUUUUAUCAGCUUUUCUAGCUAUUCUUGGAUAAAUACAGCCAGCGAGAGAGGGAACACAAGCAGGGGGAGUGGGAGAGGAAGAAGCAGGCUCAUAGUAGAGGAGCCUGAUGUGGGGCUCAAUCCCAUAGCGCCGGGAUCACGCCCUGAGCCGAAGGCAGACGCUUAACCGCUGUGCCACCCAGGCGCCCCUCUGCCUACUUUUUCUAUCAAGGACUGACAACUGAUUCCUAUGGUUUUCUUCAUGUUAUUCAAUAUGCUGAUGAUAGCAUUGUUGAGAUCAAUUCUGAUCUUAAUGUGAAUUAAUCAGACAUUUCGCUAGUGGGUGUGGUAAAUUUCCGUAAGUUUAUAGUAGAUUCUUUUUAUGAGUAAAGAAGUUUUCUCCUAUUCCUAAGUUGCUAUGAAUUGUGAUAGUAAAUGCUGAAUUUCACUAAUGCAUUUAAUGAGAUGAUCAGAAAACUUUUCUUCUUCAAGAUAUUAACAUACUGAACUCAUAGUAAACUUUUAAAUGCUAAAGUGUUCUUGCAUUCCUGCCUGGUAUUAAUCCAAUUUGAUCAUGAUGUAUAAUUUUUAAAUGCAUAGUUAAUUCAGUUUCCUGAUACUUCUUUUUAAAAAAAGAUUUUAUUUAUUUAUUUGAGGGAGAGUGAGAGAGAGAGAGAGAACACAAGCAGGUGGAGUGGCAGGCAGAGGGAGAGGGAGAAGCAGGCUCUCUGCUGAGCAGAGAACCAGACAAGGGGCUCAGUCCCAGAACCCUGGGAUCAUGACCCAAGCUAAAGGCAGCCACUUAACCAACUGAGCCACCCAGGUGCCCCAGUGUCCUGAUACAAUGAUUUUUGCAUCUAUGACUCAUGAAAGGCCAGAAGAUUUCCUUUCUUGUUCUGUCCUUCACUAGUUUUCAUAUCAAAUUUUUCCUAUUUUCUGCUUUCUGUAUAUCUUGAUUUUUAUGUUUCUCUUUUUUCACCAUUCUGAAUUUCUUUUGGAUUACUGUAGUUUUUUAAAACACUUCUACUGCCCUCCCCCACACACACUGACUUGGAAAUUAUAAAUUCUAUUUCUCUUGGUUUUUCCUUUGAAAAUUAUAAUAAAUAUUACACAUAGUUCUGACUAAUUCCAUCUUACUAUGUAAUUGUCCACUAUUUUUUGUCAGAUCUUCUUUUCUUGCUCCCUGAGUUAGACAUUGAUAUUAUUGUUCAAAUUUUUAAGAAAAAUAUAUCUUUUUCUUUAUUUUUAUCAAUUACUUCAUCAUUAUUCCUUCUCAUUUUUCUGGGACGGUUUUCUCUUUUUUGAAAUAUACUUUGGAAUUUCCUUUAUUGAGGGUUUAUUGGAGAAGAAUGAAUCUAUUUUUGGUUGUUGUUCUAAUAUGUUUUUAUUUUGUCUACAUCCCUGAAUAAUAACUUAUCUGUAUAUAUAAUGACAGGUUGAAAUUAAUCUGUAUCAGUACUUUGAAAUGUUCUUGUUUCCACUGUUGAGAUUGAGAAGUCUGCAGUGAAUCUAAUUAUUAUUACCUACAAAGGUCAUCUUUUUCUUCUGACUGCUUUUAAAAUUAUCUCUCUGUCUUUGCUUUUAUUUUUACUAUGUAUGUUGUGGAAGAAUUUUCCUUUAUUUAUUCUGAUUAUGAGGAUUUGUCCUUUAUUAAUUAUAAACAUUUAUUAACUAUUAUCUCUUGAAAUAUUGCCUCUUCCUUUUUCUAUUUGCUUCUUUCUUCUAGAACAUCAUAUAAAUACAUAUAUAUAAAUGUGUGUAUAUAUGUAUGUGUACAUAUAUAAUAUACAUAUACACACAUAUGUACAUGUAUAUACAUACAUAUAUUUUAUCCUUCAUGUGUCUUAAUCUCUCUCAUAUUUGUUCUUUAUUUUUGUGUGCAAUUUUUUAGAAAAUUAAUUUGGAUCUGUCUUCCAAUUUCCCAAUUUUUCUUAUAAGUUACAUGUAGUCCAUUAUUUAAAGCACAUUGAAUAUUUAAAUUCAAUGAUUACAUUUUUUCCUACAACUUCUAUUUGUUUACUUUUCAGAUCUGCCAAUAUUUGGAAACAAAAUAUCUGGUUAAUUGCUUCAUUUCUAUUUAUUUCUACUUCUUCAAGCAUUUAAACAUUUUAAUUUUGUGACUUUCAUAAUUCUGAGAUGUGAGAUCAUGUUUGGCCUGAUUUUAUCUGCUUGACUUAGACUUCUGAGAGCUUAGAUUAAAUGUAUGCCCUUUAAGGAGAAUGUUCUGCCAGGUACCCAGAACUCUGCCCAUGAGGACAGCUGCAAAUUUAUUUCUCAAGCUUGGCACUUCCCAUGCCAUACAAGUAGUUUAAAUUAAAUCCCUAAAGCUGUCCAAAUCAUGCCUGUGUUUACAAAUCCCCAAAGGAGAAUUUUUCCUUACUCACAGCACAAAUUAAGACAGAUAUAGUUUCUGAUUGUACAGAUUUUGCCUUAUUUAUCAUUUUACAGAAGGCAUAGGCCUUCAAAAACCACAGAUUUGUGUGGGGGUAGGAGGGCUGGAUUUAAUUUUAACUCUACCUGGAAUGGUUCCAGGCCUUAUUUGUUUUUUCUGUGUGUCAUUAAACCCUGAUCCUCUAGAUAACUCAGAUCAGAAAAUACCCUGAGGGCUACUUCAACUCACCAAUAUAAAGCACAAAGAAGAGUAAUCUGUAGAUAGAAAGCAUUAUGUAUAAAUACACACUAAAUAAAUAAUGGAAAAUGUCACAUAGGAAAUGGUUGGUGGGGCACCUGGGUGGCUCAGUCCAUUAAACGUCUGCCUUUGGCUCAGGUCAUGAUCCCAGGGUCCUGGGAUAGAGCCCUGCAUUGGGCUCUCUGCCCAGCGGGGAGCCUGCUUCCCCCCACCCCCCAUUGUGGUCUCUCUUUCUCUCUCUCUGUCAAAUAAAUAAAUCAAUAAAUCUUGAAAGAAAAAAAAAAGAAAAGGAAAGAAAGAAAGAAAGAAAGAAAGAAAGAAAGAGAAAAAGAAAGAAAGAAAGAAAGAAAGAGAAAAAGAAAGAAAGAAAGAAAGAAAGAAAGAAAGAAAGAAAGAAAGAAAAAGAGAGAGAAAAAGAAGAAAGAAAAGAAAUGGUUGGUGGUACCAGAAAUGUUUAAUUUCGACAAGUUGUGACAUUUUGUUAGGGUUGAGGAUGAGUGGGCAGAUCAUUUGGUAGCUUUCCAUACUUGUUUCAAGUAUUCAAAUGUUAGAGAAGUUGAAAGAGAUUUGCUCUGUAUGACCUAAAAGAACAGUAUUGUAUUUAGAUUGAUCAAUCAAUAAAUAUAGCAACCAUUGCUGUCUGGCACUAGAAACUAUAAAGAACUGAAAUAGCAUCAUUUGAUUUGUUUUCUUACUCAUUUUUCAAAAAUUUAACAUUAAAUCAUAAAACUUUAAAAAUAAUUGAAAGUUUUCAAAACAUGAUUAUUGGCUCCACAAUAUCUUGUAAUUUGGAAAUGACAUGAUUUAUGUAAUCAUUCUCUUGUAGAGUUAAUUUUUGCUCUCAAGAGUACCGUAAAAAACAUCCAUACUACCUUUUUAAAAGAUCUCUGAUAAUCCUUGGAUAGAUUGCUAAAAGUGUCCAAAGGUCAUGAAUAAGUUUUAAAGGCAUUUGAUAUUUGUUUUCCAAAUUGUUUUCUGGGAAGGUUCUGGAAAGUUUAGACCAAUUUACACUCCACCAGCAGUACAUGAUCGUAUUUGUCUCAUUUCUGUAAUUUCUUUUCUGGGUGUAUUUACUACAAUUUUAAAACCAGGAUCUCAUGUUUGCAAUCUGUAAUACUUAAACUACAAGUGUUUCUCAUAAAUUAUUCACCAGAUUUGUAAUGAUAAACAGUUGCCAAAUUGAUGGCUAUGCAGGUAUUAUAGUUAUAAUAACUUGACAUGGCCUCUUUCUGCUGCUUCUGUUGAACAGUCCCCUUGUUUCUUUUGCCCAAAGGAGUCUACCUAUAGUUCCAUAUGGGAUAUGUUUGAAACCUUCAUGGUUUUAGAUGCCAACUGUUAACUACCAUUAAUUGCUUUAUUAAAUUUCAUAAUAUCUAAUACAAAUCUGGAUAUAAUAGGCCCUUUGUUUUAGAUGCUAACUGUAACUACUUUUGUGGCAAUAGACAUAGAAUCUAAAAGUAAAUCCAUUUUAGAUUCCUUCUUAUAUGACAUUUUCUCUUCCUACAAUAGCAUGAAGUCCUUGAUAGCAAAGAAAUGAUGUUUAU
Long non-coding RNA from Ursus thibetanus thibetanus, 4166 nucleotides. The record is from Ensembl. Lineage: Eukaryota; Metazoa; Chordata; Mammalia; Carnivora; Ursidae.